This 90-nucleotide microRNA precursor is filed under the name Tursiops truncatus (common bottlenose dolphin). RNAcentral describes it as "miRNA (ENSTTRG00000024588.1)". It matches the Rfam family "mir-544 microRNA precursor family". Lineage: Eukaryota; Metazoa; Chordata; Mammalia; Artiodactyla; Delphinidae. The record is from RNAcentral.
AUCACCUGGGGAUUUUGUGCAAAUGCAGAUUCUGAUUUAGUGGGGCUGGAGCCUGAGAUUCUGCAUUUCUAACAAGCCCUCAGGUGAUGC